Long non-coding RNA from Dromaius novaehollandiae (emu), 2548 nucleotides. RefSeq lists it as uncharacterized. The record is from RefSeq and is a predicted model, not a curated record. NCBI's taxonomy places the organism in Eukaryota, Metazoa, Chordata, Aves, Casuariiformes, Dromaiidae. The transcript is spliced from 2 exons.
GCUCCCGGCUCGCGGCGCUCAGCUCCCGGCGGGGUGCCGUGUGCCGCGGGACCGGCGUGCAGGGCCAUUGGGACGAACGCACAAACGAACCAAAGAUCUUCAUGCCAAAUUUUCUGUGUUUUUUUAUUUUAUUAGCCUCGGUCACCUUCAGAUCUCAGGCAUUUGGAGACACCGUGUUACACCAGCUACCUUAACUGGAAAUGGAAGCAGCAAGGCAUUUCCCAGCAAAAUGAUUGCUGCAGGAAAAAUUGCGUUGCCCUGGUUUUCUGUGCAUAAACAUUGCUUUCGCCUUUUUAGGUCCCCUACCCCUUUUUCAAGGUUUGGGCAGUAUGAAUAGUCGCUCGUCCCCAAAGCAAACAUUUCAGGGGCCGGAAGGUAGUGAAAAAAGUCCUUCCCUGCAUGGUGAAGGCAACCUGUGCGGCUUGGGAAUUCCUCCCGGCCAGAGCGAUUUCCACCACGUCCAUCAGUCCAGGUUUUGUGUGUUUGGUGUCCCUGUUCCCGGGAAGCGUGUGGCGGUCGUGGCCGCGGCCCCGGUGGGAAGGCUCCCGGGAGGCUGCGGUGACGCUGCCUGGAGACACCGGCCCAGCCGCCCCAGCGAGGUCCCGUUCGCCUCUGAGAUCAUUUAUUUUGCUGGACUCCGAGGCUGACUCAGUGCUAACACGUGCUGCUUUUUGGCCCGAUUUAUUGCAGUUACUUGACAUCCAAAAUAAACAACGCCUGAGGUCCCUCUGCCGCUUCACCCUGCGCGGAGCGUCACGUCGGAGCCGCGCUUGCGCUCGGACCGCGCUGUGCGCGCCGGGACCUGCAUCGCCCGGGCUCCAUAAACGAUGAUAAAUCGCUUGGCACGGGCAAUGUGUUUCAGCUAAGCCCCAACCUGUUUAGUCUAAUGCGCAAAGCGAGCUGAAAUGAAAGGCCCGUUGGCAGGGCUGGUUUAAACAGGGGGACCGAGGCAUCCCCCGGCCUCCUCCGCAAAUAAAUCACAGUUCAAAGGAGCUCGCGUCCCAGCAGCUGGGAUAUUGGAGCCGCGCGGCGGAGGGCGGCGUGUGUUUCCAACCCAUCCGUCACCGCUCCGGAGAAUCGAAAGGCACUGGAAAAGGCCAUCAAAGCAGGUCUUGCUCAGGAAUCACCCGGCGGCGAUGGCCACGACCCGGCGAAGGUCUCCGAGCGAAAGCUGGUAGGCGGCAAAGUCCGUCCCGUCCUUGGCACAGCCACGGUCCACGCGCUGGCGGAUGCUCGGGGGCAAGAGGUGCCGGCCCCGCGCCCGCCCAGCCCCUGCCUGCUGGCUUUCUUCUGUGGCCUGCUUGGCGAUUCCAGGGUUUCCAAUACAUGAGGCCAAUGGCCUGCAGAAGAAAAACGAUCUCAGGUGAGAAGCAAUUAUCGCUGCUGAAGAAGUUCUGGCUGGAAGAAAAUGUUUUCCUGGAAUUCCACUGAGCUGUGGAUUUUCGAUUAGGAAGCAGCACCACAUCUGCAGAACGCACGUAUGAAAACUCGGGUGUAGCAUUCAUUACUGUAGGCGGUCAACACCCAUCCUAGGUCAAACACUGUCCUCCCAGGUCAGGCAACAGAGCCAUAGGUCUGCGGGCGUGAUGAAAAGGUUGAUAUAGCAGCGAGUUAAAAGUGCAACGUUGGCCUCCCAGCCCUGCACUGCUGCUGCAUCCGAGAUUGCGGCGAGCCCACAGUCGAGGGACACAAGAGCUGGUUGAACACUUUCCAAGGGAAUGGUUUUUUUCUCUUCCUGUGGUAAACUCCCCUUUGUCAAAAUGAGAACUUUCCAGGAGAAAAAAUGACUUACAAAGAUUUUUGGUUGGGUUUCUUUGUGUGUGUUUGUUUCCAAAUGUCUUUUUAACGAUGUUGCACAGCCAUAUCAGAUUUUGUAAAAGUCAAAAUGAGAACAAGAUGUAUUCAUUUCACCAUUAAAAAGAGGGCUGGAAAGGAAGACAAGGGAUCCUACAGCCCAUUCCCCUGCCCCUAAAAGGGAUCACAUAUUUUCAAGAUACGGGUUAAAUGCCAAGAAAUGUUGACUUUUUCUUUUGCUUUCGUUCGCUUCACUGAAGUGUAAUCUACCUUUUCACAUUGCCUUGCUACUGCACGUUAAAGGCAGCAGAAAUCUGUUCCCCCUAAAUUUUAGCUGCUACCUUUACCGUGCAGUAGCAAGGCACCAUAAGCCCCCGUAAGGCUGGUUUGCCUUUCUGACGAGGGUUUUACCAGUGGACCAAGGAAGUAAUUUACAGCAGUGCUAGAGAAAACCCCUGCUAUCUACUAGCUGAUAGUGUUUAAGCCAAACCCAUGCUGCCGCUGCUCUUGCAUCCAGCCAAAAAUGGCAAUUUAAGGAAAUCCAAACAUUUUGUGAGAGCGUAUCAAUUUCAUCUACAUUUUUGACAGGAAAUUAUGGAAACAUUUCCAUUCCAUAGAGUCAAAAUGUUUCAUUUUGGCCGUUGCUUUAGCUGUUUCUAUACAAUAACUAUAGCAUACGGAGAAGUUGAGGUUUAGAUCUUUAUCUGAUAUUUUUUAGUAUAAAAGUCAAAAUAAACAAAGCAUUUCAGCUUCA